This 228-nucleotide ribosomal RNA is filed under the name uncultured bacterium. Its description in RNAcentral is "partial 16S ribosomal RNA". It matches the Rfam family "Bacterial small subunit ribosomal RNA", at positions 568 to 795 of the family's 1533-position model. The record is from RNAcentral.
UACGUAGGUGGAUAAUUAAGUCAGAGGUGAAAUCCUGCAGCUCAACUGUAGAAUUGCCUUUGAUACUGGUUAUCUUGAAUUAUUGUGAAGUAGUUAGAAUAUGUAGUGUAGCGGUGAAAUGCAUAGAUAUUACAUAGAAUACCAAUUGCGAAGGCAGAUUACUAACAAUAUAUUGACACUGAUGGACGAAAGCGUGGGGAGCGAACAGGAUUAGAUACCCUGGUAGUC